UACGGGGGGGGCAAGCGUUGUUCGGAAUUACUGGGCGUAAAGGGCGUGUAGGUGGCCAACUAAGUCAGACGUGAAAUCCCUCGGCUUAACCGGGGAACUGCUUCUGAUACUGGAUGGCUGGAGUGUGGGAGAGGGAUGCGGAAUUCUAGGUGUAGCGGUGAAAUGCGUAGAUAUCUGGAGGAACACCGGUGGCGAAGGCGGCAUCCUGGACCAUUACUGACACUGAAACGCGAAAGCCAGGGGAGCAAACGGG
RNAcentral lists this ribosomal RNA (253 nucleotides) under uncultured bacterium. RNAcentral describes it as "partial 16S ribosomal RNA". It matches the Rfam family "Bacterial small subunit ribosomal RNA", at positions 524 to 776 of the family's 1533-position model. The record is from RNAcentral.